This 482-nucleotide ribosomal RNA is filed under the name uncultured bacterium. RNAcentral describes it as "partial 16S ribosomal RNA". It matches the Rfam family "Bacterial small subunit ribosomal RNA", at positions 30 to 507 of the family's 1533-position model. The record is from RNAcentral.
AUUGAACGCUGGCGGCAUGCCUUACACAUGCAAGUCGAACGGUAACAGGUCUUCGGAUGCUGACGAGUGGCGAACGGGUGAGUAAUACAUCGGAACGUGCCCGAUCGUGGGGGGUAACGAGGCGAAAGCUUUGCUAAUACCGCAUACGAUCUACGGAUGAAAGCGGGGGAUCUUCGGACCUCGCGCGGACGGAGCGGCCGAUGGCAGAUUAGGUAGUUGGUGGGAUAAAAGCUUACCAAGCCGACGAUCUGUAGCUGGUCUGAGAGGAUGAUCAGCCACACUGGGACUGAGACACGGCCCAGACUCCUACGGGAGGCAGCAGUGGGGAAUUUUGGACAAUGGGCGAAAGCCUGAUCCAGCCAUGCCGCGUGCAGGAUGAAGGCCUUCGGGUUGUAAACUGCUUUUGUACGGAACGAAAAGCCUCUUCCUAAUAAAGAGGGGUCAUGACGGUACCGUAAGAAUAAGCACCGGCUAACUACGUG